GCAAAACGCGAAGAACCUUACCAACCCUUGACAUGGAGGGGACCGUUCCAGAGAUGGUUCUUUCACUUCGGUGACCCCUCACACAGGUGCUGCAUGGCUGUCGUCAGCUCGUGUCGUGAGAUGUUCGGUUAAGUCCGGCAACGAGCGCAACCCACACUUUCAGUUGCCAGCAUUCAGUUGGGCACUCUGAAGGAACUGCCGGUGAUAAGCCGGAGGAAGGUGUGGAUGACGUCAAGUCCUCAUGGCCCUUACGGGUUGGGCUACACACGUGCUACAAUGGCAGUGACAAUGGGCUAAUCCCAAAAAGCUGUCUCAGUUCGGAUUGGGGUCUGCAACUCGACCCCAUGAAGUCGGAAUCGCUAGUAAUCGCGUAACAGCAUGACGCGGUGAAUACGUUCCCGGGUCUUGUACACACCG
RNAcentral lists this ribosomal RNA (417 nucleotides) under uncultured bacterium. RNAcentral's name for it is "bacterial SSU rRNA". It matches the Rfam family "Bacterial small subunit ribosomal RNA", at positions 954 to 1392 of the family's 1533-position model. The record is from RNAcentral.